GGAGGGGCUUUGGCUCAGUGGAAGUCUAUCUGCUUGGCAUGCAGAAGGUCCCAGGUUCAGUUCCUGGCAUCUCCA
This 75-nucleotide transfer RNA is filed under the name Sphaerodactylus townsendi. Its description in RNAcentral is "tRNA-Ala". It matches the Rfam family "tRNA". Rfam says of the family: Transfer RNA (tRNA) molecules are approximately 80 nucleotides in length. Their secondary structure includes four short double-helical elements and three loops (D, anti-codon, and T loops). Lineage: Eukaryota; Metazoa; Chordata; Lepidosauria; Squamata; Sphaerodactylidae. The record is from RNAcentral.